CGUUUUUAUAAUUUAAAAUAGAGGACAAAAUAGCGUACUUUUGCCAUUUAAUAGCUUUUUAUUAGUGUAAAGCACUGCUUGGAAAAUAUGUGAUGUGUGGGUGAUGACGCUUAAGGAAAAAUCACCGACUAGUAUUUUUUAGUUGUACGCUGCUGCAGAUCAAGGUAUCGAUAAUGGAGGAAGACUUACAAGCCUGGUUGGAAUCAUUGUUUCAGC
This 216-nucleotide unclassified non-coding RNA is filed under the name Cimex lectularius (bed bug). RNAcentral describes it as "fos-related antigen 2-like, transcript variant X4". The record is from RNAcentral. Lineage: Eukaryota; Metazoa; Arthropoda; Insecta; Hemiptera; Cimicidae.